CAGUCGCCGCGGGAAUACGUAGGUGGCAAGCGUUGUCCGGAAUUAUUGGGCGUAAAGCGCGCGCAGGUGGUUUAAUAAGUCUGAUGUGAAAGCCCACGGCUCAACCGUGGAGGGUCAUUGGAAACUGUUAAACUUGAGUGCAGGAGAGGAGAGUGGAAUUCCACGUGUAGCGGUGAAAUGCGUAGAGAUGUGGCGGAACACCAGUAGCGAAGGCGACUCUCUGGUCUGUAACUGACGCUGAGGAGCGAAAGCGUGGGGAGCGAACAGGAUUAGAUACCCGCGUAGUCCCUGUCUCUUAUAC
Molecule: ribosomal RNA, 301 nt
Filed under: uncultured bacterium
Lineage: Bacteria
Description: partial 16S ribosomal RNA
Rfam family: Bacterial small subunit ribosomal RNA
Source: RNAcentral